RNAcentral lists this ribosomal RNA (424 nucleotides) under uncultured Sphingobacteriales bacterium. Its description in RNAcentral is "bacterial SSU rRNA". It matches the Rfam family "Bacterial small subunit ribosomal RNA", at positions 355 to 776 of the family's 1533-position model. The record is from RNAcentral. Lineage: Bacteria; Pseudomonadati; Bacteroidota; Sphingobacteriia; Sphingobacteriales.
UAAGGAAUAUUGGACAAUGGAGGCAACUCUGAUCCAGCCAUGCCGCGUGCAGGAUGACUGCCCUAUGGGUUGUAAACUGCUUUUGUACGGGAGAAAACCCUUUCACGUGUGAAAGGUUGAUAGUACCGUAAGAAUAAGGAUCGGCUAACUUCGUGCCAGCAGCCGCGGUAAGACGAAGGAUCCAAGCGUUAUCCGGAUUCAUUGGGUUUAAAGGGUGCGUAGGCGGGUUUGUAAGUCAGUGGUGAAAGCCGGUCGCUCAACGAUCGAAUUGCCAUUGAUACUGCGGACCUAGAAUAUAGAUGAUGUUGGCGGAAUAUGACAUGUAGCGGUGAAAUGCAUAGAUAUGUCAUAGAACACCUAUUGCGAAGGCAGCUGACAAAACUAUUAUUGACGCUGAUGCACGAAAGUGCGGGGAUCAAACAGG